UGUAUCUGAAGCCUGACGAGGAUGAGAACCUCCGGGGGUAAGAGGUUCGACUCGAGCGAAGCGAGAGAACGUUGCGCCAGCAACGGCCCGCAGGGCGAGCCAUCCUCUAUCACCGGCAG
Molecule: small RNA, 119 nt
Filed under: Salmonella enterica subsp. enterica serovar Infantis
Lineage: Bacteria; Pseudomonadati; Pseudomonadota; Gammaproteobacteria; Enterobacterales; Enterobacteriaceae
Also listed under: 8 other names
Description: RtT sRNA
Rfam family: RtT RNA
About the family: This family represents a bacterial cis-regulatory element known as RtT RNA. The exact function of RtT is unknown although it is thought that it may be involved in changing the cellular response in relation to amino acid starvation.
Source: RNAcentral